GGGCCCGCACAAGCGGUGGAGCAUGUGGUUUAAUUCGAUGAUACGCGAGGAACCUUACCAGGGCUUAAAUGUAGUUUGACCGGUCUGGAAACAGACUUUCUCUUCGGAGCAGAUUACAAGGUGCUGCAUGGUUGUCGUCAGCUCGUGCCGUGAGGUGUUAGGUUAAGUCCUGCAACGAGCGCAACCCCUAUUCUUAGUUGCCAGCGGUUCGGCCGGGGACUCUAAGAAGACUGCCAGCGCAAGCUGAGAGGAAGGUGGGGAUGACGUCAAAUCAUCACGGCCCUUACGUCCUGGGCUACACACGUGCUACAAUGGUAGAGACAGAGGGCAGCCACCUGGUGACAGGGAGCGAAUCCUUAAACUCUAUCUCAGUUCGGAUCGAAGUCUGCAACUCGACUUCGUGAAGCUGGAAUCGCUAGUAAUCG
This 425-nucleotide ribosomal RNA is filed under the name uncultured bacterium. RNAcentral's name for it is "bacterial SSU rRNA". It matches the Rfam family "Bacterial small subunit ribosomal RNA", at positions 917 to 1344 of the family's 1533-position model. The record is from RNAcentral.